UUAUAGUUGCUCAGGCACUUUGUUGACUCUAGAGAACCUCGGGCCAAUCACACAUCCCCGUGGCGGUGACUUUGCAUGCGGAUGUCAUCGAUAUCAACUUUCGAUGCCAGUUUCUGUGCCUACCAUGGUGACCACGGGUAACAGGGAAUCAGGGUUCCAUUCCAUACAUGGACCCUGAGAAACGGCUACCACAUUCAAGGAAGGCAGCAGGCACGCAAAUCACCCACUCCCGACGCAGAAAGGUAGUGAUGA
Non-coding RNA from Pelobates cultripes (western spadefoot toad), 252 nucleotides. NCBI's taxonomy places the organism in Eukaryota, Metazoa, Chordata, Amphibia, Anura, Pelobatidae. The record is from the annotation of a GenBank genome assembly.